CAUAAUUGCAGGCUGCUCUAAUCAUUCCCCAGCAGAAACAAGAUAUUUCUCGAUUAGAGAGAGAAUUCAACUGAGAGAGAUAUGAGCGAGAUCUGUAGCGACAGAGUAUUCCGGCUCCUGGCAUUCUUUGCUUCGAUUGCUCACUUUUUUGUUUCAGCCUAUUCUGAUGACUUGUCGUCUUCAAAAAAUGAAACAAAAGCAGAACAUCCUCGUGGUAGCAAGGGAUCAAAAAUAGCAAUUAUAAGUUUGGUGCUAUUAGUAGCUGCUCUCGUAUCAUAUCUCCUUUUCAAAUUUUGGCAAAGAAAGAAACGUGAUGAGCAGUAUGCUCGUUUACUCAAGUUGUUUGAAGAGGACGAUGAGCUAGAGCUUGAGCUUGGUCUUCGGGAUUGAGUCUUUUACUUUUGUAUUUUUAUGUUUAAUGAGUGGUGAUUCAUGAGGGGCGUGCUGGAUACUGUGGGCAGCUGAGAAGAGGGGAAUGCGAACACGACUUAUUGUGAAGACAGAUAGUAAGAUAUCCCAAACACAUUUGUAAAGAGUUGUAUCAGAAUGACUGGGGCAGAAAUUGAAGGUAUUCUUUUUAAAGGCAGCUGUUAUACAUAUGAUGAUAUACAUUGUUCAUAUCUUUCACUAGUUUGUAACUGCAAUUUUUGAGUGUAUAUUUUUAACUAUUUCCCUUGUGGAAAGCCAGUCUUUGCGACUGUGCUGUUUAUAAUUAUGGUCACAAUUUUCUUAUA
Non-coding RNA from Salvia hispanica, 734 nucleotides. NCBI's taxonomy places the organism in Eukaryota, Viridiplantae, Streptophyta, Magnoliopsida, Lamiales, Lamiaceae. The record is from RefSeq and is a predicted model, not a curated record.